Non-coding RNA from Misgurnus anguillicaudatus (oriental weatherfish), 1276 nucleotides. NCBI's taxonomy places the organism in Eukaryota, Metazoa, Chordata, Actinopteri, Cypriniformes, Cobitidae. The record is from RefSeq and is a predicted model, not a curated record.
UAAAUAAAUAUGUUAAAUGUGCUCUAAACAGGUCAUUUCGGUACAGCACUGAUAGAAGCACUUCAUUUUCAUCUUUUAACAAAUAUCUUUAUUUUCUUUUAAUAUGAUAUUAUUGGCAGAGGCGCGCGUCCGUCUCAUGCUUUGUGAUCACGUGAUUAUUCAACGGGGAGACGCGCGUUCUGGAUUUACAGUUUCUCCUCAGACAAGUGUUUCUGUUUUGUGGUCGAUUCUGGGUAAUGUUAGCUCGAGCGCUGUCAGCUUGACUGAGCUCGUCGCGCAGGUGACGAGCAGGUCAGUUAAUGGAAAUCUUUUAUUUGUCUUUAUAUCUUCUAUAUAAUCGUGUUAUGCUUGUUUUUAAAUGUAUUUUAAAUUGUUUAGUUAAUUAUAAUGCAAGUUUACUCCAAGUAUUGUAGUGUGGGCUUUUUUCAGCUUACGGCUAGCCUGAUUGAGCUCGUGGCACAGCUGUGAGCUAGCAGUUAACAUCCUUUUCUUGGUGUGUCUUGAUGUUUUCUAUUGGCUAAAGAUGCAAAUAAGGAGACUUACAGUAGGAGCUGCUGGUUUGUGGUUGGCAGUAUGGAUCACGGUCUGCGACUCAUGAGGAGCUGGUCUGGAGACAUGAAGAGGUUGUCAACAGGCCAUCCAUCCAAGAUCAUCUAUCUGAGCUGCUGAAAACUGCCUCGGUACGGAUCUGUUGGAGCUUUGUGUCACUGACUGAAUUUCUGCAAAUUCCUGUUCCGUGUCAUAUUGCUUAUGCAAGACUGAAUCCAUAAAGGUGAUGGUCUGUGGAGACUGUGGGGGAUUCCUUCUGCUGUCAUUUAAACAUGAGCAGGAGUAAUGACGGGUUUAAAUGGACGCAACUAAUAUUAUGUCAGAGUCCGCUGCUUAUGCUGUAACCAUAAAGCAACCAGGACAACACACCUGGAGUGACCGAGAGCAGGAUGAAGGAGGAAUCGGAUGAGAAAAUGUCAACUGGUGCCCAUGAGGAGACAUAUUGUUCUUGGACCUGCUUUUUAUGUUUAGUAAUAAGUGGUUUUAUGUGGUUAAAAAAAAGUAAUUUAAUAUUAAUAUUUAAUAUUUUAAUAUUCACUCCAAAAUGGUCUAGUAUUGUCACUUAACUUAUGCUGCUUGACUUCUCAUCAUAAAGAUCAUUAUUAAAUUAAUAUUAAAUAUUUCAAAUUUAGAAAUAGGCUACCCCAUGCCAUCUAAUAAAGAAGUGGGUACUCCGUGCGUGUCGUGUACCCAGCACUACACCAUAUGGCAUCAUUGAUGUCUGUUG